UACGAAGGGAGCUAGCGUUGUUCGGAAUCACUGGGCGUAAAGCGCACGUAGGCGGAUGUGUCAGUCAGGGGUGAAAUCCCGAGGCUCAACCUCGGAACUGCCUUUGAUACUAUUGGUCUUGAAUGUUGUUGAGGUGGGCGGAACGGGUCAUGUAGCGGUGAAAUGCAUAGAUAUGACCCGGAACACCGAUUGCGAAGGCAGCCCGCUAAGCAACUAUUGACGCUGAGGCACGAAAGCGUGGGGAUCAAACAGG
RNAcentral lists this ribosomal RNA (253 nucleotides) under uncultured bacterium. RNAcentral describes it as "partial 16S ribosomal RNA". It matches the Rfam family "Bacterial small subunit ribosomal RNA", at positions 524 to 776 of the family's 1533-position model. The record is from RNAcentral.